GGCAGUGUAGCUUAGUGGAAAAAGCACGGGCUUGGGAAUCCAAAGGGCCUGGGUUCUAAUCCCGGCUCCGCCA
This 73-nucleotide transfer RNA is filed under the name Ornithorhynchus anatinus (platypus). It matches the Rfam family "tRNA". From Rfam's summary of the family: Transfer RNA (tRNA) molecules are approximately 80 nucleotides in length. Their secondary structure includes four short double-helical elements and three loops (D, anti-codon, and T loops). Further hydrogen bonds mediate the characteristic L-shaped molecular structure. tRNAs have two regions of fundamental functional importance: the anti-codon, which is responsible for specific mRNA codon recognition, and the 3' end, to which the tRNAs corresponding amino acid is attached (by aminoacyl-tRNA synthetases). tRNAs cope with the degeneracy of the genetic code in two manners: having more than one tRNA (with a specific anti-codon) for a particular amino acid; and 'wobble' base-pairing, i.e. permitting non-standard base-pairing at the 3rd anti-codon position. The record is from Rfam by way of RNAcentral. Lineage: Eukaryota; Metazoa; Chordata; Mammalia; Monotremata; Ornithorhynchidae.